UGAGGAAUAUUGCUCAAUGGCCGCAAGGCUGAAGCAGCAACGCCGCGUGAGGGAUGAAGGAUCUAUGGUCUGUAAACCUCUGUAGAGAAGGAAAAAUAACCCAUUAUAUGGGCUUGAUAGUACUUCUAGAGUAAGCCCCGGCUAACUACGUGCCAGCAGCCGCGGUAAUACGUAGGGGGCGAGCGUUGUCCGGAAUCACUGGGUGUAAAGGGUGCUCAGGCGGGUCGAUAAGUCAGAGGUGAAAUUUCACAGCUUAACUGUGAAUGUGCUUUUGAUACUGUCGGUCUAGAGUUCAGAAGAGGGCAAUGGAAUUCUUGGUGUAGCGGUGAAAUGCGUAGAUAUCAAGAAGAACACCAGUUGCGAAGGCGGUUGCCUGGUCUGUAACUGACGCUCAAGCACGAAAGCGUGGGGAUCAAACA
RNAcentral lists this ribosomal RNA (419 nucleotides) under uncultured prokaryote. RNAcentral's name for it is "bacterial SSU rRNA". It matches the Rfam family "Bacterial small subunit ribosomal RNA", at positions 355 to 774 of the family's 1533-position model. The record is from RNAcentral.